This is a non-coding RNA of Populus trichocarpa (black cottonwood), 79 nucleotides long. NCBI's taxonomy places the organism in Eukaryota, Viridiplantae, Streptophyta, Magnoliopsida, Malpighiales, Salicaceae. The record is from Rfam.
UUCUUUUGGUAAUUCAGACGAGUCUCCUAAUUUUUAGGGACUGAUGUCAUUUUUAACGUAUCUUCUAUUUUUAGGGACC